UUGCUACUUGGAGAUCCGCAUGCAGUGCGUUGUUGCUCACAUACCGGGGAGCAUUUGUCAUUGCUCUGAGAGCUUUGUUUUGGAUCGUCUGGAGCUUGGCCAUUUGCAUGCUUGAAGUCAGUGGUCCCCAGACUGGCAUGGCAUACUGCCAUAUUGGGGCAAUCAGCUGCUUAUAGAGGAGGACCUUUGGAGGUAUGGCAUGACGGAUUUUUUGGCCAGAAGUUGCCCGGCUAACCUUGGAGCUGGAGUGUGUUGCUGCACAGACCAUGAUAAUGCAUCAGCCAGGAGC
Molecule: long non-coding RNA, 289 nt
Organism: Drosophila persimilis
Lineage: Eukaryota; Metazoa; Arthropoda; Insecta; Diptera; Drosophilidae
Exons: 3
Source: RefSeq, a predicted model, not a curated record